UGGCUCAGUCGGCUGAGCAUCUGACUUCGGCUCAGGUGGUGAUCUUGAGGUUUGUGGGUUCGAGCCCCAC
Molecule: transfer RNA, 70 nt
Filed under: Felis catus (domestic cat)
Lineage: Eukaryota; Metazoa; Chordata; Mammalia; Carnivora; Felidae
Rfam family: tRNA
About the family: Transfer RNA (tRNA) molecules are approximately 80 nucleotides in length. Their secondary structure includes four short double-helical elements and three loops (D, anti-codon, and T loops). Further hydrogen bonds mediate the characteristic L-shaped molecular structure. tRNAs have two regions of fundamental functional importance: the anti-codon, which is responsible for specific mRNA codon recognition, and the 3' end, to which the tRNAs corresponding amino acid is attached (by aminoacyl-tRNA synthetases). tRNAs cope with the degeneracy of the genetic code in two manners: having more than one tRNA (with a specific anti-codon) for a particular amino acid; and 'wobble' base-pairing, i.e. permitting non-standard base-pairing at the 3rd anti-codon position.
Source: Rfam by way of RNAcentral